UCGGACACAGCUUCUCUCACCACAGGGACGUCUGGUAGUUAAACUUGAUCUUCAGGAGAUACUUCAUAUUUACCUGAGCCACGUCAUACACAAUGUACCUGGAGGAGCAGCGGUUAAAGAAAACAAGAGACUGUACAGGACAGAGACAAUGUGUUCAAUGCAGGGCACUCAUGAUUACCUGAAUCUGGAUCCACAGCAGCUCCUCCUUUAACUGUGAGUUUCAUCUUCUUGGCUUUGCUGCUCCCUGUAACAGCGUAGACGCAAGAUUAAAAGAUAGAGUCUGGAUGAGCACGGAAAAUCCUUUACCUCCCUCCUCCUUCACUCUCCCCAUGCUCUUGGUGGCCAGCUCUCCAGACUUGGACGCCACGGAGGGAGCCUGGGCCUCGACUUUGACCUCUGCGCCCCAUGGCGAGAUGGCAUGCAGGGAGACCAGUUCCUGGAGAGCUUUACCCGACGACGUGACAUCCGUGAGGAAAUCCUCGGAGACCACGCGCACGCCAGCGUCCCUCGCCUCCUCCAUUUUCUUGGUCAUCUUCUCCACCUCCUCUGUACAAGCACAAGGACAAAGAACGUGUCAGAAGCCAAAGAUGUUAAAUUAUACAUUUUCUUUCGGUGUGAAUAAGUAAUUGCACAUGAAAAUUCUCCCGUUAUUGAAUCGUUACUCACUCUUGGU
Scophthalmus maximus (turbot) is the source of this 673-nucleotide long non-coding RNA. RefSeq lists it as uncharacterized. Lineage: Eukaryota; Metazoa; Chordata; Actinopteri; Pleuronectiformes; Scophthalmidae. The record is from RefSeq and is a predicted model, not a curated record. The transcript has 3 exons.